CUCACUAAUUGUAACUUUCACGCUUUACUUUUUGCUGUGUUAUGUGCUAAAGCUGAAAUCGCUAAAAUAAAAGUUAAACGACAGUCCACUCGCAAAGAUGUAUUCUUAUGUUUAUUAAUUUAAAUUUAAGAUACCACUACGCUACAUUAUUUGUGCCGUUCUACGCCGGAGAUUGGAGAAAAGGGCGCGCUUGUGAAUAAGAAUUCUACGUGAAUGGUGUUGAUAAUGCACUUUCGGUUUAGAAUUCUCAAGAGUUUCGCAAUGGAUACAGUGUACGAGGCGUAAAAAGUAUACCGCUCAUAUAUUUGUGGAAGAAAGAGGCAUUCACGCGACUAGAAGACAUUAAAUGUGGACAUGAAGCAACAUGCCAGUUGCGUGCAGGAAGUAGACACGUGGUAUAUCAGGCGCGGGAUAACGUCUUAGUUCAAUGCCAUUCACCGGCAGUUUGACAGGCGCAUUCGUAUUAUCAUCAUUUUCAUUGUCAGCAGAGCUGCUGCGGAAGUCUAUUUAGAUCAAAGAUGAAAAAUCAGAGGAUAAAAGAAGUUGGCCAAAAGUUGAAAGAAAUGGCGGACAGCUUUUCUGCAAAUGAUCAACCAUCCAGAAUGACACCUAUUUUAUCGUUCUGGAAUCGUCAUUGGAAGUUUAUGUUUUGGUUGACAGCAGCUGGUAUAGCCCUGCUUUUUAUUUUCUCAAGGCUUUAUCAAGAUGCUACAUGAAUGACACAGAUCUAUCUGAAUCUAAGAAUAUGAUAAGUUAUAAUAAAAUACGUCUGAUACGAAUAAUUGUGCAAGGAAUAAUGGUUGUUAAAAGUGAUUUCAUUUGAAUGAUAUAGUAUCAACUUAUUAAUUUUCGAUGGAAGAAGAAAAGUGAAACUGAAGAAAUGGCAAUUGCUUUUGCAGAAAUUUGGAGCAGUCAGUGCAAAUGAUUAUGUUGGAGUUUUUGAAUUUGAAUGAGUUUGAGGAAAAAAAUUGCUCAAUAAUUAAUUUUCCUUAAAUUUAUGUUUGAGAAAGUUUUUAACUGAUAAUUUUCUUGGUAUCUCAAGAAGUUUGAGAACAACUUCUUAGAAGCUGGAACUGUCCAUCUAAGAUCUGAAAAGACUUCAACACAAGUGAAGAAUCAAGUCACUGCUUUAAAUCUGCGUACUUAAUAUAUGUAUCAAGAAUAUUUCUUAUUCCAUUAAUUAUGUUGUAUAUUAAGUUAUUUUUUUCAUGUCCAUGACGAUUAAUCAUAUUUAAUAUUUCCUUAAGUUCAAGUUUAUGAGCUUGAACAUUAAACUUCAUUCCUUUCUGUAAAAUAAUGACUAGCAUCAUUACAAUUUAUUUUGAAAUAAAUCUUCUGUAGGAAGUAU
This is an unclassified non-coding RNA of Stegodyphus dumicola, 1348 nucleotides long. Lineage: Eukaryota; Metazoa; Arthropoda; Arachnida; Araneae; Eresidae. The record is from RefSeq and is a predicted model, not a curated record.